Molecule: ribosomal RNA, 468 nt
Filed under: uncultured bacterium
Lineage: Bacteria
Description: partial 16S ribosomal RNA
Rfam family: Bacterial small subunit ribosomal RNA
Source: RNAcentral
GACGAACGCUGGCGGCGUGCUUAACACAUGCAAGUCGAACGGAAAGGCCCUGCUUUUGUGGGGUGCUCGAGUGGCGAACGGGUGAGUAACACGUGAAUAACCUGCCCUUGACUUUGGGAUAACUUCAGGAAACUGGGGCUAAUACCGGAUAGGAGCUCCUGCUGCAUGGUGGGGGUUGGAAAGUUUCGGCGGUUGGGGAUGGACUCGCGGCUUAUCAGCUUGUUGGUGGGGUAGUGGCUUACCAAGGCUUUGGCGGGUAGCCGGCCUGAGAGGGUGACCGGCCACAUUGGGACUGAGAUACGGCCCAGACUCCUACGGGAGGCAGCAGUGGGGAAUAUUGCACAAUGGGCGGAAGCCUGAUGCAGCAACGCCGCGUGCGGGAUGACGGCCUUCGGGUUGUAAACCGCUUUCGCCUGUGACGAAGCGUGAGUGACGGUAAUGGGUAAAGAAGCACCGGCUAACUACGUG